UGGGGAAUUUUCCGCAAUGGGCGCAAGCCUGACGGAGCAAGACCGCGUGGGGGAAGAAGGCUCUUGGGUUGUAAACUCCUUUUCUCUGGGAAGAACACAAUGACGGUACCAGAGGAAUCAGCAUCGGCUAACUCCGUGCCAGCAGCCGCGGUAAGACGGAGGAUGCAAGCGUUAUCCGGAAUGAUUGGGCGUAAAGCGUCCGCAGGUGGCAGUUCAAGUCUGCUGUCAAAGACCGGGGCUUAACCUCGGAAAGGCAGUGGAAACUGAACAGCUAGAGUAUGGUAGGGGCAAAGGGAAUUCCUGGUGUAGCGGUGAAAUGCGUAGAGAUCAGGAAGAACAUCGGUGGCGAAGGCGCUUUGCUGGACCAUAACUGACACUCAGGGACGAAAGCUAGGGGAGCGAAUGGGAUUAGAUACCCCAGUAGUCCUAGCCGUAAACGAUGGAUACUAGGUGUUGUCUGUAUCGACCCGGACAGUGCCGUAGCUAACGCGUUAAGUAUCCCGCCUGGGGAGUACGCACGCAAGUGUG
RNAcentral lists this ribosomal RNA (528 nucleotides) under uncultured bacterium. Its description in RNAcentral is "bacterial SSU rRNA". It matches the Rfam family "Bacterial small subunit ribosomal RNA", at positions 355 to 896 of the family's 1533-position model. The record is from RNAcentral.